GGAAGAUCUCAAGCUGUGACUCUGCAAAGGGAAGCCCUUUCUGCUGUCUAAAAGAAAAGAAAGUGCUUCCCUUUGGUGAAUUACGGUUUGAGAAAAGCAGCGUUGAAG
RNAcentral lists this microRNA precursor (108 nucleotides) under Gorilla gorilla (western gorilla). RNAcentral describes it as "microRNA ggo-mir-1283 precursor (ggo-mir-1283-2)". The stretch from base 7 to 93 matches the Rfam family "mir-515 microRNA precursor family". RNAcentral also lists the same sequence under 1 other name. The record is from miRBase by way of RNAcentral. Lineage: Eukaryota; Metazoa; Chordata; Mammalia; Primates; Hominidae.